AGGAGGAACAACCCCAGUGGCGGGGCCAGCUCUGGAGCCCUGGAUUCAGCCCCCGCAGGAACUCCGGAGCUCUCCGUCUGCAGGGCCUGGAGGCUCCGGGGCGGG
Molecule: microRNA precursor, 105 nt
Filed under: Canis lupus dingo (dingo)
Lineage: Eukaryota; Metazoa; Chordata; Mammalia; Carnivora; Canidae
Description: mir-8834 microRNA precursor family
Rfam family: mir-8834 microRNA precursor family
Source: Rfam by way of RNAcentral